UACAGAGGUCUCAAGCGUUGUUCGGAAUCACUGGGCGUAAAGGGCGCGUAGGCGGGAUGGCAAGUCGGUCGUGAAAUCCUUCGGCUCAACCGAAGAACGUCGGCCGAUACUGCCGUUCUUGAGGGAUGCAGAGGAGAUUGGAAUUCCCGGUGUAGCGGUGAAAUGUGUAGAGAUCGGGAGGAACACCGGUGGCGAAGGCGGGUCUCUGGGCAUCUCCUGACGCUGAGGCGCGAAAGCGUGGGGAGCAAACGGG
This 253-nucleotide ribosomal RNA is filed under the name uncultured bacterium. RNAcentral's name for it is "partial 16S ribosomal RNA". It matches the Rfam family "Bacterial small subunit ribosomal RNA", at positions 524 to 776 of the family's 1533-position model. The record is from RNAcentral.